AUGCUUUCCUCGAUGGGUGUCGCAUAUCUGAAUAUCAAUGUUUUAGUAGUCGAUCCGGUUUUAAUCCCAUCUACAACUCCCCAACUUGAUGAACUACUACUGGAAACAAUUAAACUUGUUCAAGACCCCGACAAUUCAUCUCGGACGGUUUAUGAUUCAUGGGUCAAAUCCAAUGCUUCUCCCAAGAUUCAACGACUGGGCAAUGGAGGAUCAGACUAUGCAGCAUUCGUUCAACAUGUUGGCAUUCCAUCAACCAACUUGAUAUUUGGAGAAGGUAGGGGCGCACUUCGUGUUGUUUAUUCUUACGGUUUCUCGUAUCUCUAA
Molecule: ribosomal RNA, 324 nt
Filed under: Triticum aestivum (bread wheat)
Lineage: Eukaryota; Viridiplantae; Streptophyta; Magnoliopsida; Poales; Poaceae
Description: partial small subunit ribosomal RNA
Source: RNAcentral